AUUAUGCCAAUGGGUUUUCUGCUUGGCCAGCACCAUCUUGUCUGCUCCUUACUGUACAUGUGGCUGGCAAAGAGAAGAUGCAGCCAUCGUUUUGAACAUGUCUAUUCCCAUCUUGGAAGGCACAAUACACACAGGUCUUCAUGGUCCACCAGAGCUCUACAGCUACGGGCCAGCCAGGAGGUGGCCAGCUGCUGGGCGCUCUUCUGAAGCAGACAGGAUUUCACUCUGUUGCGGAGGCUGGAUCACAGCUCACUGCAACCUUGAAUUUCUCCCUCAAGCAAUCCUCCCUGCUCUGCCUUUCAAAGCACUAGCAUUACAGAACUAAGCCACCACUCCCAGCCACUGUAAUGUAAAUUGUCUUCUUUAACAUUUCCAAUGGUUGCAGAGUAGAUCAGAUAAGGGUUCUUCUUGACCAUUGCUUCAAGUUUCAUUCUGUCUUUAAAUGAUUGAAGGUUGACUUCCAUGGUUUCCCAAAGAAUGUGGAAAGUGUGUCUUCAGAUCCAUAUAGUGUUCAUGGAACCCCCAGAGAAGGCUGACGUAAAACCCUUUAUUUUCUCCCAAAUGUCUCAAAAAGUUGUAUUUCCUGGGUCCAAGGGAUCUGCAAGCCUCUAAAGGCAUUUCCAUUGUCACUACCAUCAGGUGUGAACUGUAAUCUGGCACAGUCCCAAGAACUGUCAUCAUACAUGCUGAAGAAACAUUGUGAUGGUAACUUGCUGUUACCAACUGUGAAGUCAUUAGCUAGAGGAAUCUUGGGCUGUCUGAAAUCUGAAACACUGUGGAAAGAACAGAAAGAUCCUGUCUGUUUCCCACAGUUGGGAACUUCUAUUGGAAGUUGUCAUUUUCCACAGGAGACAUUCUGUUUUAUUUUCUUGAGACAGGGUCUCACUCUUGUCGCCCAGGCUGGAGUACAGUGUUGCUACCUCAGGCCACUGCUGCCUCCAUUGCCUCAGGAUUGCCCAAGCAAUCCUCCCACCUCAGUCACCUGAGUAGCUGGAGCCACAGGCCUGCACCACCACGCCCAGCUAAUUAUUUUUAUUUGUAGAAACAAGGUCUCUCUAUCUUACCUAGGCUGGUCUCGAACUCCUGGGCUGAAGUAAUCCUCCUGCCAUGGCUUCUCAAAGUACUUGGGAUUACAGAUAUGAGCUACCAUGCCCGGCCUCACAGGAGACAUUCUUAAUGUCCUUCUUGACAGUCCACAAAUCUUUUUUUUUUUUUUUAAGACAGGGUCUUGCUCUGUUACCCGGGCUGGAGUGCAGUGGUGCCAUCAUAGCUCACUACAGCCUCGAACUCCUGAGCUCAAGGGGUCUUCCCACCUUAGCCUCCUGAGUAGCUGGGACUACAGGUACUUGCCACAAGGCCCAGAUAAUUUAUUAAAUUAUUAUUAUUUUGUAGAGACAGGGUAUCACUAUGUUGCCCAGGCUGGUCUCAAACUCCUGGCCUCAAAUAAUCUUCUGCCUCAGCCUCCCUAGGUAUCAGCUGUCAUGCCUGGCUACAAAUCUUAAUGCUUUCCCUGUGGUUUCCCUUUCUGGUGUUCUUUUCUCAGGUAAUCAAAGCGGGAAAAGAUCAUUCUCUAAUGAUCUUUCCCCUAGGAUCCAGUGUGUAGGAAUUAAAGAAAAAGGAAAGAAACACAGACAGUGGCUUGAUGGUCAAGGAUAUUUUAGAGAAAACAAACCUUACGGGCUUCUGGCUGAGUUAGGUCAGAGGCACUCUCUCUCACCGUUUUUAAGGAUUCAGGGUGGGAGUGUUUAUCAGAGGCUUGAAUUGCUUCUGUGUCUCUUUAGUUGUGCUUAUCUGGGAGGGAGAGUUGUGUGUCUGUUCCAAUACAUCUUUCUGCAGUGCAGGCAUAUUCCCCGAGUCUGCUUUUAGCUUUCCUAUCUUAGUGUACCUGAAGGGAAAGGAAUGUGCUUAUUAAGGCCCACUAUUUUCCUGGGGCCGAUUGUAUAAGGGGAAGUUUGGCAGUUACCCAAGAGACUUUUCCCCCACCUCCCUCUGUGCCCCAGCUGUCUUAUCUGUAUUUUACUGCCUGCUCUUUCUGGCUGCUUGUAGUUAGAAAAGAAGUGAUUUUCUCGAAAUGCAUGAGGCUAGAAGAGGAGGUAUAACUUAAAGUGGCAGUGUUUGUCCAGGAUGACGGUGCUCCUACUUUGUGACAGUGGGCAUGGGGAUUCAGGCCACUGCCAGUGAAUUUCAGAGCCCACACACAGAGGCCAGAACUACAUUGUGAGGGUUUCAAAAAAAAAA
Cebus imitator (Panamanian white-faced capuchin) is the source of this 2238-nucleotide long non-coding RNA. RefSeq lists it as uncharacterized. NCBI's taxonomy places the organism in Eukaryota, Metazoa, Chordata, Mammalia, Primates, Cebidae. The record is from RefSeq and is a predicted model, not a curated record. The transcript has 3 exons.